This is a long non-coding RNA of Durio zibethinus, 799 nucleotides long. RefSeq lists it as uncharacterized. Lineage: Eukaryota; Viridiplantae; Streptophyta; Magnoliopsida; Malvales; Malvaceae. The record is from RefSeq and is a predicted model, not a curated record.
AAUUUUCAUUUUGAUUUUAUUUUUUCUUGUGAUCUGCGAUUUGGAAUUAAUUGUCUAAAGGUUGUGUUACAACUUGCUUAGAAUUUCAGUUUUUAAGACCUAAAAUCUGUCACUUAUGUAGAUGAAAAGUUUGGGCCUCGGAUAAAAUCAUUUCAUUUCAUAUUAUUUUGCAUCUCCCUUGUUAAUUGAUUUUACCCCUGCUAUUUAUAAUGAAGAUUUUACUACUUUCUUGAUGAGGUGGCAAAUGUUUAGCUUUCUGUUUCACUAUUCUAAUCUUGGUUGGAGAUAGUUGGCUGGUGUUAUUCUCGUAUUUGCUUUUUCUCUCUUGUUUUUGCUUCUAUUAGGUGCUGAAGUGAACUAUCUUAUCGAAUCUGUGGUUGUCUUAGCUGAGGUUGUGGUAGGAUCAGCAGCAUGGUUGGGUUGAGGUAUUUCUUGUGUCUGUGCACAGAGAAGAGAGAGUGAUACUCGUCCAUCAUUUGAUUCAACCCCUUCCUAGCUGAGGAUGUGGCAAGAUUAGCAACAUGGUUGGGUCGAGGUCUUUCUUGUGUUUGUACAUAGAGAAGAGAGACACUCAUCCAUCAUUUGAUUUAACUCCUUCCCAGGUUUUCUUAGCUAUUAAAAGAUGUAUUGAGUUCACAACAAUUUUGCUUUAGUGUUUCUUAUUGCUGUUAAAAGAUGGGCAAAUAUUUAUUUAAGGAUACUAAUAGUGUUUCUAGUAGUUAAACUGCUUGAGAAUAAGCUUUAUUGUGCCUGUAUGUACUUUUGUAUUCCAACAUUCAUUUGAAGGUUUAAUUUGUGC